RNAcentral lists this transfer RNA (105 nucleotides) under Colletotrichum navitas. RNAcentral's name for it is "tRNA-Met". It matches the Rfam family "tRNA". Rfam says of the family: Transfer RNA (tRNA) molecules are approximately 80 nucleotides in length. Their secondary structure includes four short double-helical elements and three loops (D, anti-codon, and T loops). Further hydrogen bonds mediate the characteristic L-shaped molecular structure. tRNAs have two regions of fundamental functional importance: the anti-codon, which is responsible for specific mRNA codon recognition, and the 3' end, to which the tRNAs corresponding amino acid is attached (by aminoacyl-tRNA synthetases). tRNAs cope with the degeneracy of the genetic code in two manners: having more than one tRNA (with a specific anti-codon) for a particular amino acid; and 'wobble' base-pairing, i.e. permitting non-standard base-pairing at the 3rd anti-codon position. Lineage: Eukaryota; Fungi; Ascomycota; Sordariomycetes; Glomerellales; Glomerellaceae. The record is from RNAcentral.
GUCUCUAUGGCUCAGUCGGUAGAGCGUUGGUCUCAUAUUCGUUAUAUGACCCUGCCCUAAGGUCGGGAUAUCCAAAGGUCGCAAGUUCGAGCCUUGCUAGGGACA